AGAGUUUGAUCAUGGCUCAGAUUGAACGCUGGCGGCAGGCCUAACACAUGCAAGUCGAACGGUAACAGGAAGCAGCUUGCUGCUUCGCUGACGAGUGGCGGACGGGUGAGUAAUGUCUGGGAAACUGCCUGAUGGAGGGGGAUAACUACUGGAAACGGUGGCUAAUACCGCAUAACGUCGCAAGACCAAAGAGGGGGACCUUCGGGCCUCUUGCCAUCAGAUGUGCCCAGAUGGGAUUAGCUAGUUGGUGAGGUAACGGCUCACCAAGGCGACGAUCCCUAGCUGGUCUGAGAGGAUGACCAGCCACACUGGAACUGAGACACGGUCCAGACUCCUACGGGAGGCAGCAGUGGGGAAUAUUGCACAAUGGGCGCAAGCCUGAUGCAGCCAUGCCGCGUGUAUGAAGAAGGCCUUCGGGUUGUAAAGUACUUUCAGCGGGGAGG
This 443-nucleotide ribosomal RNA is filed under the name Salmonella enterica subsp. enterica. RNAcentral describes it as "bacterial SSU rRNA". It matches the Rfam family "Bacterial small subunit ribosomal RNA", at positions 8 to 447 of the family's 1533-position model. Lineage: Bacteria; Pseudomonadati; Pseudomonadota; Gammaproteobacteria; Enterobacterales; Enterobacteriaceae. The record is from RNAcentral. RNAcentral also lists the same sequence under 1 other name.